Molecule: ribosomal RNA, 379 nt
Filed under: uncultured bacterium
Lineage: Bacteria
Description: bacterial SSU rRNA
Rfam family: Bacterial small subunit ribosomal RNA
Source: RNAcentral
AAUGAACGUUGGCGGCGUGGAUUAGGCAUGCAAGUCGAGCGAGAAUCCCGGCUUGCCGGGAGGACAGCGGCGAAAGGGACAGUAAUGUGUAGAUCAUCUACCCUCAGGUCUGGGAUAGCCGCGGGAAACUGCGGGUAAUACCAGAUGAUGUCUCCGGAUCAAAGGUGUGAUUCCGCCUGGGGAUGAGUCUACAUCCUAUUAGCUAGUUGGCAGGGAAUGGCCUACCAAGGCGAUGAUGGGUAGCGGGUGUGAGAGCACGACCCGCGUCAUUGGGACUGAGACACUGCCCAGACACCUACGGGUGGCUGCAGUCGAGAAUCUUCGGCAAUGGGCGCAAGCCUGACCGAGCGACGCCGCGUGUGGGAUGAAGGCCUCGGUU